AAAUUGAAGAGUUUGAUCAUGGCUCAGAUUGAACGCUGGCGGCAGGCCUAACACAUGCAAGUCGAACGGUAACAGGAAACAGCUUGCUGUUUCGCUGACGAGUGGCGG
This 108-nucleotide ribosomal RNA is filed under the name Escherichia coli. RNAcentral's name for it is "partial 16S ribosomal RNA". It matches the Rfam family "Bacterial small subunit ribosomal RNA", at positions 1 to 101 of the family's 1533-position model. The record is from RNAcentral. Lineage: Bacteria; Pseudomonadati; Pseudomonadota; Gammaproteobacteria; Enterobacterales; Enterobacteriaceae. RNAcentral also lists the same sequence under 1 other name.